GAGUGGCGGACGGGUGAGUAACGCGUGGGUAACCUGCCUCAUACAGGGGGAUAACAGUUAGAAAUGACUGCUAAUACCGCAUAAGACCACAGCACCGCAUGGUGCAGGGGUAAAAACUCCGGUGGUAUGAGAUGGACCCGCGUCUGAUUAGGUAGUUGGUGAGGUAACGGCCCACCAAGGCGACGAUCGGUAGCCGGACUGAGAGGUUGAACGGCCACAUUGGGACUGAGACACGGCCCAGACUCCUACGGGAGGCAGCAGUGGGGAAUAUUGCACAAUGGGGGAAACCCUGAUGCAGCGACGCCGCGUGGAGGAAGAAGGUCUUCGGAUUGUAAACUCCUGUUGUUGAGGAAGAUAAUGACGGUACUCAACAAGGAAGUGACGGCUAACUACGUGCCAGCAGCCGCGGUAAAACGUAGGUCACAAGCGUUGUCCGGAAUUACUGGGUGUAAAGGGAGCGCAGGCGGGAAGACAAGUUGGAAGUGAAAUCCAUGGGCUCAACCCAUGAACUGCUUUCAAAACUGUUUUUCUUGAGUAGUGCAGAGGUAGGCGGAAUUCCCGGUGUAGCGGUGGAAUGCGUAGAUAUCGGGAGGAACACCAGUGGCGAAGGCGGCCUACUGGGCACCAACUGACGCUGAGGCUCGAAAGUGUGGGUAGCAAACAGGAUUAGAUACCCUGGUAGUCCACACCGUAAACGAUGAUUACUAGGUGUUGGAGGAUUGACCCCUUCAGUGCCGCAGUUAACACAAAAAGUAAUCCACCUGGGGAGUACGACCGCAAGGUUGAAACUCAAAGAAAUUGACGGGGGCCCGCACAAGCAGUGGAGUAUGUGGUUUAAUUCGACGCAACGCGAAGAACCUUACCAAGUCUUGACAUCCCUUGACGAUGCUGGAAACAGUAUUUCUCUUCGGAGCAAGGAGACAGGUGGUGCAUGGUUGUCGUCAGCUCGUGUCGUGAGAUGUUGGGUUAAGUCCCGCAACGAGCGCAACCCUUAUGGUCAGUUACUACGCAAGAGGACUCUGGCCAGACUGCCGUUGACAAAACGGAGGAAGGUGGGGAUGACGUCAAAUCAUCAUGCCCUUUAUGACUUGGGCUACACACGUACUACAAUGGCGUUAAACAAAGAGAAGCAAGACCGCGAGGUGGAGCAAAACUCAGAAACAACGUCCCAGUUCGGACUGCAGGCUGCAACUCGCCUGCACGAAGUCGGAAUUGCUAGUAAUCGUGGAUCAGCAUGCCACGGUGAAUACGUUCCCGGGCCUUGUACACACCGCCCGUCA
Molecule: ribosomal RNA, 1280 nt
Filed under: uncultured bacterium
Lineage: Bacteria
Description: bacterial SSU rRNA
Rfam family: Bacterial small subunit ribosomal RNA
Source: RNAcentral